This 498-nucleotide ribosomal RNA is filed under the name uncultured bacterium. RNAcentral describes it as "partial 16S ribosomal RNA". It matches the Rfam family "Bacterial small subunit ribosomal RNA", at positions 29 to 507 of the family's 1533-position model. The record is from RNAcentral.
AGCGAACGCUGGCGGCGUGCCUAACACAUGCAAGUCGAACGUGAAAAGGGAAACCUGAGUAAAGUGGCGUACGGGUGAGUAACGCGUAGGUCAUCUACCCCAGAAUCUGGAAUAACCUGCCGAAAGGCGGGCUAAUACUGGAUAGAGCGAGGGAACUCGUAAGAGAGUUUUUCGGGAAAGGGAGCCCGCAAGGGCCUUCGUUCUGGGAUGAGCCUGCGUCUCAUUAGCUAGUUGGUAAGGUAACGGCUUACCAAGGCGAUGAUGAGUAGCUGGUCUGAGAGGAUGAACAGCCACACUGGAACUGGAACACGGGUCCGACUCCUACGGGGGGCAGCAGUUGGGAAUCUUGCGCAAUUGACGGAAGGCUGACGCAGCCACGCCGCGGGAGUGAAGAAGGCCUUCGGGUUGUAAAGCUCUGUCGGAUGGGACGAACAUCUUCAUAGUGAAUAGCUAUGAGUACUGACGGUACCAACAAAGGAAGCACCGGCUAACUCCGUG